Taeniopygia guttata (zebra finch) is the source of this 1063-nucleotide non-coding RNA. NCBI's taxonomy places the organism in Eukaryota, Metazoa, Chordata, Aves, Passeriformes, Estrildidae. The record is from RefSeq and is a predicted model, not a curated record.
UUCCAAAGGCUCUAGGAACCUCCUGGACUGACUCCUUUCCACUGUUGGGUCUCCAGCAGACACUGGCAGGUUAAAGUGUCCCACAAGAACAAGGUCUAGUGAUGGCGAAACAUCAGCCAGCUGCCUACAGAAUAUUCCAUCUGCCUCUUUAUCCUGGUUGAAUGGUCUGCAGUGGAUUCCCACCAGGAUAUCUGGCUUACCAGCCUUUGCCCUGAUUCUCAGCCCUAGGCACUCAGUCUUAUCACCACUAUCCCCAAGCUCUGUGCAGUUAAAGCACUCCCUGAGGUACAGAGACACCCCAUUUCCUCUUCUGCCUUGCCUAUCCCCUCUGAAAAGUUUGUAGCCACCCACUGCAGCACUCCAGUCAUGACUCCAGUCACCCCACCACAUUUCCCUGAUGAUGACUACGUCACAGCUUUCCUGCUGUGUGAUGGCCUCUGGUUCCUCCUGUUUCUUACCCACACCGCCUACACUGGUGUCGAUGCAAUUGUGACUGCUCCAUUCUCCUCCAAAAUCAGCUUCUAUGUGUCUCAGGUCCUGCACCUCAAGGGAAUUCUGCAGCACUGACUCAUGCCACCUUCAGACCGUGUAACUGGUUAUCCACAUGCAAGACUGCCUUAGCCCAGGCUCUCUUGGUCAUGGGUUUGGGACACAGCUUGAGAAAGGCUCUGCACUGGAAUGGGAAAGCACCGUAAUGCUCCUGCAGCAACCACACAGACACGGAGCACAGGUCUCUGCAGCACCAGGUGUCCAAGCACAUGGUCUCCAACACAACCUGCAGCAGAUCCAGGGGAUGCUCAAGGUUCAGGGACCACUGAGAAAGCUCUCUUCCAUGAUAAUUCUUGGCUGCAGCCCUAGGAAGUAUCAUUCAUGGGCGCUCCAGCUACAGCAGCUACUAAAGAGAACAGCACAGUGAAAUUGCAACGGAGAGCUCCUUCCAAGUGAUACUACUCAGCAAGGUUCCUUAAAGAAAGAAAUGCUACUAUAUAAAGGUUUGUUGAGUUGAUAGCAAAUGACCAAAAAUGUUUCAUUUAGGCCUCAGUAAACAUUUUAUACAUGUUAA